AUGGAUGAGCAAGAUCACGACGGGCUGCGACAUCAUGAGGCGGCGGCAGAGUCGUCGGUGCCGUUGCUGGAGAAGAAGGCCCGCGGCGUGUUGUGCGUGGAGGGGUGCCCCGGGUGCGCGAUUGACCGGAGGAAGGCGGAGAACCCGGGCAUCCCCUACAGCAGCUUCCUGUACGUAUGGGUCAUCACCCUAAGCACCGGUGAGUGCUACUACUACGACUCCAUCGAUCAACACCGCUAG
RNAcentral lists this ribosomal RNA (240 nucleotides) under Triticum aestivum (bread wheat). Its description in RNAcentral is "partial small subunit ribosomal RNA". Lineage: Eukaryota; Viridiplantae; Streptophyta; Magnoliopsida; Poales; Poaceae. The record is from RNAcentral.